This is a long non-coding RNA of Bradysia coprophila, 354 nucleotides long. The record is from RefSeq and is a predicted model, not a curated record. Lineage: Eukaryota; Metazoa; Arthropoda; Insecta; Diptera; Sciaridae.
CAUAAAUAUACAAACGGAUAUAUAGUGAAAAUGAAUGGUUGCAUAAAAGUGUAAUUAUCGUAUAACACUUACGUGGACUGAGCGAGUAGUUCGAAAAUCGGCUCUUGCUGAGCGAUUGCCUGUUUCGGUUCGUCGAUGAGCAAAAGUGUUAGCAACAUUGCAGCCAUCGACAUUGAUGACAAAAACCACAGUUUCAUUAACAUGGUGAAAUUGCCUCUCGUUUUUACAAACAUAUUGGUGUCACAGAGAGUGUGGUUCUCGUUUUACAUAUCAACAACCCCCCCGGUACACACUAUAAAUAUUAUGCGAUGUUUAUAGCGAGCACUAAGGUUUUUUUUUGUUAUUUACUUUUCC